UUCAUUAUGAACAAACUAUCAACAAAAACCAUCCUGUUCAGCCAGUUUCUCAGAGCAACUGUGGGAGUCAAAGCAGGAAGACAUCAGAGGAGAAUGAAAGAAGUAAGAAAGGUUUAUGAGAACCAAAAAUGGAAAAUCAUUUCUUUCACAGCAGUGCUCAGACAAGAACUCUACCCACUGAAGUCAACCGGAUAUUAGCAGUUCUAAGAUCUAAUAAGCACAAACCAUCCACCCAUAUACUGCUAUGCUGUGAACUAAAUGAGCUGAAGCCUCCACUAUUCAAAGUUCUUCAAGGCCAUAUCACAUGUACUACACUGAGACAGUCACGUGGGAAAGGCUACCCCGCAAAACCCCUAUGGGCCUGCACACUGGGGUGGAGCCACAGAAGUCUGCAGGAAGGAGUCUGGCCCCUCCUCUUCCUGGGUGAAACCUGGGAUUCAAUCUGCAAGGCAGGAAGCUCGGGGCAAGAAGCACACUGUCUCGUUUUGCUAAGAGUCUCCCUUUCCCCUUGUUUUCCUUUUCACCCAAUAAAACCCUGCCUUAGUCACCCUUUAAAUUGUCUGUGA
RNAcentral lists this long non-coding RNA (566 nucleotides) under Macaca fascicularis (crab-eating macaque). RNAcentral describes it as "lncRNA (ENSMFAG00000054617.1)". The record is from RNAcentral. Lineage: Eukaryota; Metazoa; Chordata; Mammalia; Primates; Cercopithecidae.